Long non-coding RNA from Brassica rapa (field mustard), 681 nucleotides. RefSeq lists it as uncharacterized. NCBI's taxonomy places the organism in Eukaryota, Viridiplantae, Streptophyta, Magnoliopsida, Brassicales, Brassicaceae. The record is from RefSeq and is a predicted model, not a curated record.
ACUGAAAUACAAAAAAAAACACCAAACAGUUUGGCAAACAAAAAUAUAAUAAAUCGAUAUUUUAAAUACACGAAAUGAGACACAGAUCUAGAGAUACCGGAAGACAAGAGUGCGGUGGAGGUAGACCGACUUGUUGUUGAAGGUUUUGUCAGGACCAGCGGAGGAGAUGUUUUCUCUAUCCCCUUAUUAGGGUUUCGCUUUUUAACGGGCUUACCAAAAUAUUUAUGUGGGUCGAAUAAUAGAUUAUUAUUGGGCCUGUUUCGAUUGAAUUAGUAUAUAAAUAUUUUUCGGGAACAAGCAAUUUUGGAGCAAAUAUUAAGCUAUUAAAUAGUAGAGCUAGAAAAAAUAAUUCAAUGUAAGUAGGCUUCGUCCCAUUUGAUCCACGGUGAAGUGAAUGCGGGUCAAACGGUCUAAAAUUUUCAAAUUACGGAUGCAUAUUGAGUAUAUCUUAGACAAAGUAGGUGUAUGUUGUUAAAUAAAAAAUACAGAUAUCUCACAACAAAUAUUUUUUUUAAAAAAAAAUUAUUAUAUAAAAUGAAAAUUAUAAAAAAUUAAUUAUAAAAUACAUAUAUUUAUAUUAUUUUAAUAAAAAUAAAUAAAUUAUUGAAACUAAUAUUUAUAUUAUUAUUACUAUUAGUGAAAUAUAUGGAUCAAAAAUUUAACAAAGAAAAUUGGUUAAUU